This 1195-nucleotide long non-coding RNA is filed under the name Anser brachyrhynchus (Pink-footed goose). RNAcentral describes it as "lncRNA (ENSABRG00000014995.1)". Lineage: Eukaryota; Metazoa; Chordata; Aves; Anseriformes; Anatidae. The record is from RNAcentral.
AAUUCUCUCAUGAUUUUCUCCUGAUUUGCACUGCUCUCUUGGUAAAAGAGAGAGUAAUUUCCUAGAUUCCUGGAUUGUGAUGAUUAACAUACAAUUCUUUAGCUAUUUUUUCCUAGUGUCUCGAUUGUUUUGACUAUAAAUGCAUACUUUAAGGAUUUCUACAGGGCAAAAUAGAAGUAUAACCUUUCUUGUAACUUAUGUAAGAUAGCAUUAGCUAAUUUUGGUUGUUAAUUGGUAUGAGAUCAUAAGUAGCCAAACUAAUUUAUUUAAAUAAGGUUUUUAGUUCUAUUGCCUUACCAAUUUUCCAGAUGGAUCUAAUUAUCUAAAAUGUAUAUUAUCUAAUUUAAUUGCAGUGUUGCCAGACAACCACCUCUUCCAGAUCUAGUUGCCACAUCUUGUGACGUUGUUCAUAGAUACACAUAAACCCAAUAAAGGUGUACAGAAGGUCUGCCUUUACUGUAGGCAACUCUUGGCCUUAUUAUCUCCCAUAAUUGACACUACCACAAAAGUGGUGUUUAUUCUACUGGUAUAGGUCACUACCAUAACCAUAUGUUAUAGCUCUGAAUGGUGGUUUCUAACGGACAAUAACUAUUGUUUUAUCAUGCUGCAUUUUGUGGAUUUUGUUUCCAAACUGUGUGUGCAAGUAACACCAUUUACAGCCAUUGUUACCCUGUUUAAAGAAGAUCGUUCACAUUGUAGAUCUGCUGGAGCAACAGUGGAUGGCACCACAAACCGAGGGAGCCUGUUCGAUGUCUUGACCUCCCGUACUACAGCUAACGAAAUAAUUGGAAUUGUUCCUCUGAGUGGUGUGUGGCCCUCUUUUGUAUCCCCCUAUUACUACCAUACAUUGUAUUCCGUUACACUAUUGUAUCCAGUUGAACUUGAUGGAAUACAUUAUGCAAAUCUGUGCCUGCUUCUUGUGUAUCAGCAAGAGAGAUCUCUGAAACGUAAGCGCUACUGCAGAGUUACUGAUUAAAGUCAGAUGCAGUCGAACGCUAGCAUAGCCCAUCCUUUGUGAGGGGAAAGGGUGGUGUGGAUAAUACGGAGCCUUAAUGGCUAACUUAUCCUUAACAAUGCAGAACGAUUAAAAUUUGCUGAUUCUAAAGAGCUAUCAGCAGUUUUCGGUGACCAACAUAGGUAAUGCUCUCUGAGAGUAGGUAAUAAAUACAUAGCGAUGCUGAAGGGGGAGGAGAAA